Quercus lobata is the source of this 536-nucleotide long non-coding RNA. RefSeq lists it as uncharacterized. The transcript is spliced from 3 exons. The record is from RefSeq and is a predicted model, not a curated record. Lineage: Eukaryota; Viridiplantae; Streptophyta; Magnoliopsida; Fagales; Fagaceae.
UUAAGUCCCCUUUGUCAAACCCAACGGUCCACACAUUAAAAGAAAGACAAGGCUCAUCUCAUUUCUUAUUCACACUUUCUCAAAGAAACUAGAACAAUCAAGAAACUCCCUCCCUCUCAUGGCUAUGGGUCCAACACCAAAAAGAAAGAAAACUCUCUCAAGCUCUCUACCUCUCAUACUUUUGGGUCCAGCCACUAGGGAAGGUAAAUCCUUUCAUGCAAGAGUGAUUUAUUUCUAUUUUCCCCUCAAGAACCAUAAAUUUGGUGUUACCAGUUCCCUAGGUCUAAGCUCCUUCGACUCUAGGCUCUCGGUUCCUCUGUUUUUAGUUAACAGGUUUUAUUUUGGAGCAGAGGAAGCCUUAGUCGAGUUUUGGAAGGAGCUAGUUUUAGUUUAAAUGUAUAGAUCCCAAAUUUGUAUCUGAUGUUUAGUUUUGUGGUAUUGUGUAUUUUAGGAUCUAAUGAAAGUUAUGUAUCUUAAAGUAUUAAGAGAUGUAUUAUGUGAAAUUCUAAAUUUGAAUAACUAGUGAAUUAUGUCAA